GUCAGCGCGCAGCGUGCUCGAUAAUGAGGCACACAGCGAAGUUUUAUUUGCAGCGAGUUGUACGGUCUCGGACCUUCGAGAAUUCACGAGGUUUCGCGAGCGUUCGGCAGUGCCCCUGGAAGAUCGACGAGAAACCCGUUUUCGCGGCAGUGUUGGGCCAACAUGGAGGGGUCAAGUACGCAGAGUGAUUUACCCAUUUUCCCUGUCAAGAUGGUUGGACACAACAUCCGCACUGGAAGAUGAACAUGACCAAUUUUAAUGGAACUCUAUUAUUUUACCAUGGAUUGAACUUUCCAAUUUUUGUGGUACAACCGGAUUUUGCAUGUUUAAUUCAAUGACGUGUGAUCAACAACUCACAAACUGACGAAUCAGGCGACGGGGAUUCUUACGCCAUGUCGCAUGGAAUAUUGUGUGUAUUGUUCGUUGAUAAAAAAAACCCUGAGGAAUAAGCACUUUCAUGGUACAUUUAAUAUGCGCCAUCUUGUUCACAUAGCAAGAAGAACAAGCAUUGCUAGAUGCGGACACAUUUUGUAAUGUACACAUUUUGGAAUGAACGCAUGAUGACUUGGAAGCACAAAAGGUUUUGUUUGAUGACGUGUAGACUGCAACGCAUGUAAAUUUGCCCGAUAAGAAAAAUGACGCAUUACAGUGAAAAAAAAUAAUCAGUUCAAUCAAAUUUCUCUAAAUAUCAAAUUCCAGUUUUAUUUCACAAAUUAAUCAAUGUCAGUAGCCUUUAUGCUGUAUAUUGAAAACCGAUAAUACAAUACAAACCUCUGCGAACGACUGUACACUGCACUCGAAGUCCAUAUCGAUGUUCUGAAAAUAUGCAGACUGCGAAACAUUAUGAAGCACUGGCAACUUUGCUGAUCGUCUGCGAAACAGUUUGCGUCUGUCUGAGUUGUCGGCGACACUUCCAGAUGAAAUGUUUCCAUAUUAUCUGUUCUGCAGUUUUGGUCCCAUUUUUUUGUUUCACUUUGCGUUUUUUACGUUGAGAUGGAAACUAGCCUGAACAGUAUUGAUUGCUUGUUAGUUUGUAACCAUUGCAAUCUUAAAUAUUUAUUAUUUGUUCUUAUACGCCUGCAUUCUUACCCUUGUAAUUAUUAAGAAAUACAAUUUAUUGUUAUUGCCAAGGGCUGGAGCGGUUGAAUAAUCUUGCCUUAAAACAGAUUGCUGACACGUGGACUUUUAUAAGCUCAUGGUCUAUACAUGUCGCAAGAGUAUAGUUACUGUACAUGUACAUGUACAUUGUACAUCAGUGUUUUCCAGAGCAUUAAAAACCUCACACAAUAAAGAAACUGUGCCUUAAUUUUCAUGUUCACUUUUUUUUUUAGAUCUAUAUUUGUAAGUUAUUCCAUGUUGUGAGAAACUUUCAUUUGUAAAGUUUUUUUUCUUGGAAACUGAAAGUGGUUCAAAUAUUAAAGUGUUUCAGUAUACCUUAAUGUUUAACUAAAUGCAGCUGAAAGUAUGUAAUUGUGAUUUCAUGAAUAAAGUGUUUCCCAGAAUUUCAGUCAAGAAAAGAGA
This is a long non-coding RNA of Patiria miniata (bat star), 1521 nucleotides long. RefSeq lists it as uncharacterized. NCBI's taxonomy places the organism in Eukaryota, Metazoa, Echinodermata, Asteroidea, Valvatida, Asterinidae. The transcript has 2 exons. The record is from RefSeq and is a predicted model, not a curated record.